AUGUCAGGCAACAACAGGGUUGGGAAGAUGCAGAAUACCAAGCGCAAGCGAAGAAGCAACGACAUAGGAUGCCUUAAUGAAAACAAAAGUGCUAGCAAAACAGUACUUACGCAACGACCCAUCCAUCCAGAUAUUACUACCUUUGAAGAUGGAUUUGGUAACUUGCUUAAAUCCUCGGAAAGUUCCUCUAGUGAACUCACCAAACAGAUUGAGUCGAAACUGUCAGAGAGUGUUGUCUCCCUUGCUUCAUUCGUUGGGAGUACAGUGCUAUUUGAAUGCACGGGAAUAUUUAUUGAGAAUUUAUGUACUGAUGCCACAAGUAUUCUGACUUCAGCUAAUAUAGUUGGGUCUUCAGAUUCUGAGAUCACUGAUAACUUGACGAUUAAAGUGCGUCUUCCCAGUAAUCAAGUUGUCAUUGGCUGGUUACACCAUUGUGAUUUCAAGUAUAAUCUUGCUGUUGUGAACAUCAGAUGCGCACGUGGUUUUCAGGAAGCACAUCUCAGUCGUAGCCAUGCCAUGCAAUUUGAGCCGAAUAGUAAGUUAGUAGCUGUGGGGUGUUGUUUCGACUCAGGCAUGUUAAAGUCCACAAAUGCGACAGUAAUUGGCAGUGCAAGUGAUGGAGUCUGUGAGCUUAUGCUCUCCACAUAUGAAAUGAACAUGGCUUGGAUUGGGUGCCCCCUUAUUGAUUUUGAUGGGAACUUUGUUGGAAUGAACCUCCAAAGUGGCGAAAGGAUUAUGUUCACACCAGUGAACAAAAUUCUUGAAUGCCUGGGGUACCUUGCGACAGUUAGGGUUGAAAGUAAUCAAGUGGUUGCUGGUAUAAAAGAAGCAAUCACAACCAAGGCAAAUAAUGCUGGCAUGCCGAAAGAUGCUAUGCAUGAGAUUAACUCUUUUGAAGAGGAAUUCGAGGACAAUAUCUGGAGCACACUCAGUGAAGAUGUUGCAAGCACUAUGGCUGGAUGUGUUGUCUCACUUGCUUCAUUCAAUGGAAAGUCAAAGUGUUUUGCUUGCACAGGCCUAAUUAUAGACUGUAUUCCCGUGAGAAUUCUUACUUCGGCAAGUUUGGUUAAAAUUUCUGGCGAUGAAAACAAGAUUGAUGAUAACUUGCAGAUUGAAGUGUACCUUAAUAAUACAGAACAAGUCACGGGGACAUUGAGACAUUAUGAUCUAUGCUAUAAUGUUGCGGUUGUAGAGAUCAUGGGUUCCUGCGGUUCUACAGCAGUGGGAUUGAGGAGGCAUAUUUCUUUCACCCCUAAUAUCGAGGUUUUAGCUGUAGGGCGACUCAUUGAACAUCGGAAACUAAUGGCCUCAAGAGGGGUGUUAAUUGACAGAAAAGGCAAACUUGCUUGUGAAGAGCUUAGGAUUUCCACUUGUAAAAUCACCAAGGCCGGAAUUGGAGGGCCUCUUAUUGAUGCUCGAGGGAAUUUUGUUGGUAUGAAUUUCUUCCAUGAUGAAGAAACCCCGUACCUACCGAGGGAAAAAAUUCAGGAAGUCAUGAGACGUUUCAAUGAAGAACGCGCGAAUGACAGUUGGCCUGAACCAAGACAUCGUUAUUUUAUACCAACUUGGUACCCUAUACCGUUUGGUUUGUUCCCAGAAAGCGACGUGUACGUUGAUAGUUUAGAUGAUGUAUAUUCAAAGUUUGCUUGGCAUUAG
This 1656-nucleotide ribosomal RNA is filed under the name Triticum aestivum (bread wheat). RNAcentral's name for it is "partial small subunit ribosomal RNA". Lineage: Eukaryota; Viridiplantae; Streptophyta; Magnoliopsida; Poales; Poaceae. The record is from RNAcentral.